This is an RNA transcript of Oncorhynchus gorbuscha (pink salmon), 744 nucleotides long. It is a transcript of the gene named DALR anticodon-binding domain-containing protein 3-like, with no coding region annotated. The record is from RefSeq and is a predicted model, not a curated record. NCBI's taxonomy places the organism in Eukaryota, Metazoa, Chordata, Actinopteri, Salmoniformes, Salmonidae. The transcript has 6 exons.
UUGUGUCCUGCUGCCCUGUGCUGCCAGAGGAAAGUGACAUCAUUGUCUUCCUCCGAUUGCUUGGCAUCGAUUGGCCCACAGUGCCCAUCAGCUGGACCAAUGACGAGAGGGAGGAGAACAUUUUGGAGGCUUUACAGAAUUCCCCAUACAGAGAAAGAGAGGAGACAGAUGGAGGAAGAAGAGAGUAAAGGAAAGAAUACAGAUGGAGAUAAAGAGGAGAUGCUCAGGGUGAACUUGAAGAGGGUGUUUCAGGAGGAGCAGCUGCCAGGGUAUGACCCCAGCCUUGGCAGCUGUACAGUGCAAAGGGACAGUGUGUCCUAUCUGGCCCAACUGGACAGGGCUACUGCAGUCUGCACUGUCACCCUGGACGUGGAGAGGGAAGGCAGCCUGUCCACCAAGGGCCCCAGAGGCAGAGUCUUCGUCAUGGGGCGGCAGCGUAGCCUAGUGGUUAGAGCGUUGGACUAGUAACCGGAAGGUUGCGAGUUCAAACCCCCGAGCUGACGAGGGGGAGUGGCUGCUUCUGUUCGAUUACCUCAUUCCAUUCUCGGAGCUUCUCGACCAAACAGGACAGACGUUGGGGUGUGAUGGAGGGGCCAGAGUCAACCUGAAGACUGAAUGGAUCUGCAAGUUCCUGGUGUCCUCAGUAAGGAUUUGAGCUCUUAUUACAACAGAGUCCACGUCCUUUGGGAGCCGUUGCCUCACCUCUUCAAUCAGAUGUAUUAAUUGGCUGCAGUUGUUGAGCGC